UAGAUAUUAGAAAGAAUACCAAUUGCGAAGGCAGCUUUCUGGAUCAUUACUGACACUGAGGAACGAAAGCAUGGGUAGCGAAGAGGAUUAGAUACCCUCGUAGUCCAUGCCGUAAACGAUGUGUGUUAGACGUUGGAAAUUUAUUUUCAGUGUCGCAGCGAAAGCGAUAAACACACCGCCUGGGGAGUACGACCGCAAGGUUAAAACUCAAAUGAAUUGACGGGGACCCGCACAAGUAGUGGAGCAUGUGGUUUAAUUCGAAGAUACGCGCAGAACCUUACCAACACUUGACAUGUUCGUCGCGACUCUAAGAGAUUAGAGUUUUCGGUUCGGCCGGACGAAACACAGGUGCUGCAUGGCUGUCGUCAGCUCGUGUCGUGAGAUGUUGGGUUAAGUCCCGCAACGAGCGCAACCCUCACUUUUAGUUGCCAUCAUUAAGUUGGGCACUCUGAAAGAACUGCCAGUGAUAAGCUGGAGGAAGGUGGGGAUGACGUCAAGUCCUCAUGGCCCUUACGUGUUGGGCUACACACGUGCUACAAUGGUAUCUACAACAGGAAGCAAGACUGCGAAGUUAAGCAAAUCCCUAAAAGAUACCUCAGUUCGGAUUGCACUCUGCAACUCGAGUGCAUGAAGCUGGAAUUACUAGUAAUCGUGGAUCAGCGUGCCACGGUGAAUGCGUUCCCGGGUCUUGUACACACCGCCCGUCACACCAUGGGAGUUGGUUCUACCUUAAGGCAAGGUUUCAAACCCUUGACCACGGUAUAGUCAGCGACUGGGGUGAAGUCGUAACAAGGUAGCCGUAGGGGAACC
This 810-nucleotide ribosomal RNA is filed under the name marine metagenome. RNAcentral describes it as "bacterial SSU rRNA". It matches the Rfam family "Bacterial small subunit ribosomal RNA", at positions 691 to 1512 of the family's 1533-position model. The record is from RNAcentral.